Molecule: long non-coding RNA, 2240 nt
Organism: Esox lucius (northern pike)
Lineage: Eukaryota; Metazoa; Chordata; Actinopteri; Esociformes; Esocidae
Source: Ensembl
GGGUGUCAUAUGUGUACGGGUGUCAAUUUCUGCCAGGGUAUGCAAACUUAAAAGCACAAGUGUACUAGUCUUAUGCCAUAUUUACUAUAGAUAGUAUGCGAUCUGAGAUUCAGCCACGAUCUUGUCAGUGGCGGCCUGAUAAUGAUGGGAAGUUCGGCUCACCUGGCUUAGUAGCUAGCUAACGUUACUACAGGCUGGAGAUUUUUUUCAGAUCGGUUUUUCUUUGCUUUUUAGUCCAAAAUCUUAGUUCCCCCUUUUCAUUAAUACUAAUUAAAAAGUACAACUAAUACAUUUAGCGGCUGAAAAUUAUUACCCCACUACUUUUGGUUUGGACUCUGGUCUAAGCCCUGGCUGAAUGUAUGUAUUCCUACUCUGGACUGUUUUAAAAGCAUUUCUCUGCUUCUGGUUUUUAGCUAUUUGAAAUGUAGCGCGUUAGGCUAGCUAAGCUAGAACUACAUAGAGUAGCAGUACAUAAAUAGCAUGUGCUCAGGCAGUGGGCAAAGGGUGGAAGUAGGCCUGUUCAGAUUAGAGACAAAAUGUGUUUCGAAUGUUGCAGAGAAAAUUACAGUGGUGAACUGGUUAGUUACAUGCUAUCGCAGUUUUGUGUUUAUAAUAAUAAUAAUAAUAAAAAGGUGUUAUUUUCCCUGAAGCUGACAUUUUUCUUUUGGCGGGGGGCAACAUUAGAGAUCUCGCGUAGGGCCAGUUAGGCCAGAAACGCCACUGCCUGUGGAACCCAGGUUCGUUACUUGACCGUAAACACUUAAUUACAGGUAAGCUACGUCAGUGUAUACAUUGAAUUGGAUAGAACUGUGUUGGGAUAAUCGUUUUUUUCCGGUAACAACACUGUUUCCCGUAUUAUUUCAUUCAACAUUAACCAGCAAUACCGUACCCUCUUAGCUCGCUGACUGGUACCAGUGCCAGCACCCUAAAGUUGCUCGCUAGUCCAAGCGAAAGGAUAAAUUGAACUUCACCAUACGUUACCGUAGUUAACUCAAGUCUGACGUUGUAAUCGGUUAUAAACAAUAGUUUGGGGUGAAACAGUUAACCUGCGUUAUUUUUCUGAAACAUACAGUACAGCUAAUGUCACAAACGUUGGCUGGCUAAUGUGUUUAGUUAGUACUGUACAGCCACACUAGAUCGCUGAUUAGAAGCUGGCAAUUAAUCUAAAAACGUGUUUUCUAUAAAUUAACAAUGAAUACACUAAAUUAACUGGAGAUUCAGAUGGUGGAGUUUUUCAAUUGGGGGCGUGGGCAACACGUCGAUUCCUCUAUAAACGGUGUCGUCAUAAUAGCCUAUUGACAGAACCGUAUGAUCGUGGUCACAUUUCAUUAUGCAUUCAUUUUUGGUAUGAGACACGGACAGCUUGGACACAUAAGUAACUUGUAAUGUUUUCUGUGUGGGUUUUCAGCCAAUAUUCACUCCCAAGACCAAUGGGAUUAUGAGUAUGGACUCCCAAGACCAAUAGGAUGAUGAGUAUGGACUCCCAAGACCAAUGGGAUGGUGAGUAUGGACUCCAGGGUCAAUUGGCCUAAGCUUGAUCCUGCCGGGAUACAUUUCCCCUGGAGUCCCGCAGAGGUAGGUUAAAUGUGUUCUUCCAACCGAUCUGUACAGUAUUGGGGGAGGACAUUGUGUAAAAUGUUAUGUUACUACGUGCCAUUGUUCCCUCCAAGUUUUACAGCUUUCCCAGACAGGUGUUUGGCCUAGUAAGUGGUACCUAGGGAAAUUCUAGGGUCACCUCCGUGCCCAUGGGAUGACCUUGAACUAGUCGCUGAAUCAUCAGACUUGCAGAUGAGUGGUGUCAGGAACAGAGGGCAAAGGAGAAGCAGUAGGGAUGAGUCGAUGUAAUGAGUAAUCCGAGGCCUGUCAACACCAUUGUAUGGUGGGGACAUCAGCCCUUGAACUGCAUCUCAGGACUACCUGGCUGAACUACUCCUAGUUGUCCAAAGUCCACCUGACAACUGCUGCUGUCACUGCCCACAGCCCACCUGAUCGUCUCUCAUCUGGAUUCUGCAUAGAUUCUGCCAGAAGAGGACUGGCCACCCCUCAGAGCCUGGCUCCUCUCUAGGUUUCUUCCUAAGAUACAAGACUACCAGGGAGUUUUUCCUAGCCACUGUUACUUGCUCUUUGGGGUUUUAGGAUGGAUACCUGCAUAAGCACUUUGUGACAUAUACUAAUGUCUGGGGCUUCAUAAAAUCGAUUUGAGUAAAUAAAUGCAAACAAACGGCUCCAUCCUUGUCCUC